GAUCCUGGCUCAGGAUGAACGUUGGCGGCGUGCCUAACACAUGCAAGUCGAACGGAAAUAGCAAUAUUUGAGUGGCGCACGGGUGAGUAACACGUAGCUAAUCUACCUCAAAGCGCGGGAUAACGUGUCGAAAGACAGGCUAAUACCGCAUAAGCUCCCGAUCUGUAGAGGGUUGGGAGAAAAGGCGCAAGUCACUUUGAGAUGAGGCUGCGGCCCAUCAGCUAGUUGGUGCGGUAACGGCGUACCAAGGCGACGACGGGUAGGGGACCUGAGAGGGUGACCCCCACACUGGGACUGAGACACGGCCCAGACUCCUACGGGAGGCAGCAGUGAGGAAUAUUGCACAAUGGGCGAAAGCCUGAUGCAGCGACGCCGCGUGGGUGAAGAAGGUUUUUCGGAUCGUAAAACCCUUUUCUGUGUGACGAGCAAGGACGGUAGCACAGGAAUAAGUCUCGGCUAACUAUGUGCCAGCAGCCGCGGUAAAACGUAGGAGACAAACGUUA
This 503-nucleotide ribosomal RNA is filed under the name uncultured bacterium. Its description in RNAcentral is "bacterial SSU rRNA". It matches the Rfam family "Bacterial small subunit ribosomal RNA", at positions 15 to 543 of the family's 1533-position model. The record is from RNAcentral.